GAUGAACGCUAGCGGCAGGCCUAACACAUGCAAGUCGAGGGGUAGUCUAGCAAUAGAUGAGACCGGCGCACGGGUGCGUAACGCGUAUGCAAUCUACCUUUUACAGAGGGAUAGCCCAGAGAAAUUUGGAUUAAUACCUCAUAGUGUAUUUGAGUGGCAUCACUUGAUUACUAAAGUCACAACGGUAAAAGAUGAGCAUGCGUCCUAUUAGCUUGUUGGUAAGGUAACGGCUUACCAAGGCUACGAUAGGUAGGGGUCCUGAGAGGGAGAUCCCCCMCACUGGUACUGAGACACGGACCAGACUCCUACGGGAGGCAGCAGUGAGGAAUAUUGGACAAUGGGCGCAAGCCUGAUCCAGCCAUGCCGCGUGCAGGAAGACGCAUCUAUGGUGUGUAAACUGCUUUUGUACGGGAAGAAACACUCCUACGUGCAGGAGCUUGACGGUACCGUAAGAAUAAGGMUCGGCUAACUCCGUG
RNAcentral lists this ribosomal RNA (476 nucleotides) under uncultured bacterium. Its description in RNAcentral is "bacterial SSU rRNA". It matches the Rfam family "Bacterial small subunit ribosomal RNA", at positions 28 to 507 of the family's 1533-position model. The record is from RNAcentral.